RNAcentral lists this long non-coding RNA (4603 nucleotides) under Homo sapiens (human). Its description in RNAcentral is "HSALNT0383118". Lineage: Eukaryota; Metazoa; Chordata; Mammalia; Primates; Hominidae. The record is from RNAcentral.
UUAAAAAGAAAAGAAAUGGAGGGACUGGACUAUGCAGGAAGUAUUUUCCAUGGAUGGUGAUUCCAACUAAAGGAAAGAGAGAAAAGUACACUGACGUUGACCAAGACCUUGAGGGGACUAAGAGGGAAAGUGAGAGCAUCACAUAACGAGAGCUGACGUCAAGGCUGGCCCAAUCAAGAAACGGCCUCAAAACCGUACAAUGUAGGAAACAGAAUCAUCACAAAGAAAAACAAUGUGAUCUUGGAACAGUGGCGACCUCAAAGCACAUCUCUACAUCUUGAUAAGAAAAAAGAGGAGACGUAGAAAAUCCCCCAGAACCAGACUCCAGUUUGGCUUACGGUCUGUCAUAACAUCACAGGCACCAGGAGUGGGCUCUUUGGUGAUGAGAGCGGAACUGAAAAUGGAAAUGGAAAUCAAACACACAGCCCCAGUCAGGUCCCAGGUUAGCUGACCUGCUCCUAAUGCCUGCUGGGCUCAGGCCAGGAUAUCGGUGGAGGCCCCUGGUCCGCGGCCCAUUCCCCUUCUCUUGCCAUCCCCACCUGGUCAUUGUAACAAGGGGCCUCGCACAUGAGUGUGGACACCCGGGGCUGCAUGUUUGAGCUCCAACCAUGUCCACGUCUCAGCCACAGCUGGCCAUUCUCAGCCGAGGCAUGGGCACACAAGUGGCCCCAGGGAAGAUGAACUCAGUGCAGGCCCUGGCAGCUAGCAAAGGGGCAUUUGGGCAGAGAAUUAUAGAAAAGGAAGGAUCUGGGGGUCCAGGGGACAUGUCCCUUUGCCCUGCAGACCUCUUUCCCCUUUAGGGAGCCACAGCCAGAGUGGGUGCCUCUUGGAACAUAUGACCUUAUCUCUUUGGCCCAGAGAUGACAUCUUCUGCUAUCCCAAGUGUGAGCCGUUUUGGUCUCAGAAGAAAAGUCCCCUCGUCUUCCUUUCAGGGAAAAGUGCUGAAGAGGGCAGGAGACUGGUGGUUUGAGACCUGCCCCUUAGAAACCAUGUGACCCUGUGCCGUGACUGACCUUCCUAGACCCAGCCCUGUGUGUACAAAAUGAAGACAAAUACCUACCUCGCCACCUUGUUGGCAGGACUCAAAGGAUGACAAAGUGCCAAGCAAAUGGAUGUUUUCUUAUGGAGAGCCAGGGAGGUAAAUAUGAUCCAGGGGAAACAGCCCUGGGCCUCUGGAAAUGAUCAGUCUGUUCCAGGAAUAAUACCUACCUAAAGGAUGCUGUUAAGGACUGAAUAAGGAAGUGUGUGUGCAAAGGCACCUGGCACCCAGGAAGACCGCAAAAACUAUUCAUGGUGGAGGUGGUGGUGCUAGUGGCGACCAUUCCUGGUGGUGCUGGUGGUGCCGGUGGUGCCAGGCACCUGCAGCAGGUAUUUGGCUAAAUUACGUAAUUUAAUGAUCACAGUAACCAAAGAGGUGCAUUCCUAUAGCGCAGAUGGAAAAAGUGGGACCAAGGUCACAGGGUUCAUGAGUGAGCAGUGAGGCCAGGAAACACAUGCCUGUCUGUCUGCAUCCGAUUCCUCUUCCUGCCACACUCAGCACCACCUGGCCGGUUGUCUUGCAGACUCUGGGGAUAAUUCAUUCACAACACUCUUACCUGCUCACAGCAGGAAGCCUGUUCACAGCACCCCAGGCCAGAUCAGCCAUGGAGACAUUUAUACUAGACACUGUGGGCCACCUGGAUGCCAACAGACACACAAGAGCGCCUUGUGUUCCCAUCCACAUCAACUCAGCUCAUCAAAAAACCCAUCCCAGGGAAAAUGAGCUUGCUAAUAAACCAACUAACUAAGCCUAACAAGAAAUAACAGCAAAUUUUGAGGCACUUUACAAGGAGAGUCACACCCAGGUACUUGUUGGACCCAAGAAGACUCAGGUAGCAAGGCAGGGAGUGGCUCAUGACAACCGCCCGGAAGAGUCACGUCUAUUUAGUUCUCGAAAAUAAUGGAAAACAAACUCGGUUUUCGCAAGUGGUAUGCUGUGUACACUGAGUCCACAUCAGGUGUUCUUGAAUUCUCUGAUAAAUAAAAACCACAAGCAACUGUGGCACCACCGGGCUGGAGGGAAGCGCCGGCUCGCACCUGUCAAUACGAGCAGCCUGGGGGCCUUAUGGGACAGACCCUUUUUCUGAACUAGUGGUGCUGGAGUGAACACCUUCCAGGUCCCCAGGGCUCGCCCCUCACCCUGAAAAGAUUAAAUCAUUUAUUUAUAAGAAAAUAUCUAACCCAAAUACAGCAGGCACUGGGGGGCACAGGGAGCUGUGGUUACAAUGCAAGCAACAUCUGGACCUGCAAACUCAUGAUGCUGCCACAAGAAGCGUGUGCAAGGAAGGUGUUCCACGGCACAGCAGGGGAGACAGAUUUUGUAGAAGAGGUCAAGGUGAGGAUGGCGCCUCAACAGAAUCUUCAAAACCAAAAGGCAAGUUGCGGUACCCGCUGACCCUCCGCCAUGCAGAGACUGCCGCGGACGCCGAAACACCCUCCUCCCCGUCAGGCUGGCUUGUCCCCGGGCAUCUGAACGAGCCAACCUGACAGGAUGGGUGCUCAGCGGAGGACACUCUCUGAGAAGCCUGAGAUGAUGGGGAAACCCACUCUCUAGGGCUGGCUUCCAGCGCAGCUGUUUGGAGAAAGAGCUACCCUGGAGAACCUUAGUCACUGCUACAGUGGUAGAGAAGACGGAGCACAGGAGUAGCUCCUCAGGGAGGAGGGACACAGACCACACCCCCAGCUCCUUGGUGACCUCCAAGGGAACCAGCUGGACGGCAGCAAAUGGGCUUUUCCCCCGGCUUUUUCUCAGCUCGCUGUGAACCCGGCCCAGAUGCAUCCCAUGCUUACUCAUAGAGUAAAGCAAGCCAGGUAUGAGGCAGUUACAAGCCAGCAGUUUUUUAUGUGAUUGAUUCUAUCUUCUCUGGAGAUGCCCCAAGAUUCUCUGGAAACAGUUAGGCCUCAGUAUUUCCUAGCCAAGGAGCAAGCUUCCAGGAAAUGAGCGAGUGAGCCUCCAAUUGUAUAUGUAGACGUAAAAACAGCAUGCAUGCCCCUCCACCACCAAGCCUUUUUCAUUUCCAAGCUUUUCUCUAAUCACCAGGAUCCAAACACCUCCAGCCCAGCUCCCAUCCCCGCCCUCCUCCUCAGCCUUGGGCCCACCCACCUCUGUCUUCACAAAAGGUGCCCCGCUGGCCGGCACCACAGAAAACAUCCAAGCCCAAGGUACUCAUGGUUUGUGUGUAAAGGGUUUUUAUUGGAGAGCCUGUGGCGCUGAAGUGCCACCAAGGAUUUGGAAGGUCACUUUCAGCAGCCGCCAUUUCUGCCAGGACCAGUGGCAAGCACCUGGCAGAUGGAGCCCGGGUGUUUCUGCGUAAGGCAGAGGAAUCCAGCUUUUCCAUGAGAUUCAGCUGCAGUUGUCGAAAACCCUGUGUGAGCCAGCAGUUCCAGUUCAAAGGUUGAGGGGGCGAACAGCUGCGAGGUGGCCAGGCUCCCGUGAGUCACCACUCAGGCCUGAGUACACCGUGGAGAGGAGAGAUAAAGCAGCCACGGCUGUUCUGUUGCCAGUCCCACCCCUCUGGCAAACAGAUGGGGGAAAACAGAGAAGGAAAGUCAACAAAGAAGGUGAAAUGCAGGGAGCAGAGACUACACGCAGGCCCCCCGUGGCUGGCAAUACCAUGCGUGCUGGGCCGGCUGCGCCACCCUCACCCAGGGCUUCCCACGGGCUCUGCUCUUUCCUGCAGAGGCGAAACUGCCUUCCUGGCAGGCGGAGGCUGCCGAGCUCCCAUGCCCCUUCCCACAUAUCCCAACUCUUCUCAGAAAACUGAAGAACCGAAGAUGGAGGUGAGUCAGGAAAGGCUGGAGUUUUCAUCCAAAAAAAAAAAGAGCAGGACAAUAAACAGGCAAAUACACAAACCCUGGAGCAAAGCCAGGAAAAAAGGGGGAGAUAAAAAAUAAAAAAAUAAAAAACACCUUUCUAGAGAGAGCAAAAUCCCAGGGUCCCGAAGGCACUGCUAAUAGACUAAUAGAAGCAUCUUUGUUGCAGCCAAUCACCUCUAGCCUGGGAACACCGCUAGUCAGGAGGCCUCAAUCAACCUGAGAAGUCAGCCCAAGGCCCUGUCUCCAGAAGCCAGCAGCAGAUCCCUGGGUCAUGUCACAGGCAAGUCCUCACUUCACCAGCUCAGAGGUGAGCCACUCUCACCUGAACCUCUGCCUUCCGGCAGGGACCUCCUGGGUCCUGUGGGGUCUCCUGGGUCCAGGUGGGUUCCUAGUCCAGCCCCGUCUAGACUGACUUCAAAUAUAGUCCCCUGACAGUGUGAUUUUUUCCAGCCAGCCAAAUCACCGUUCAUUUUUAAAAUGGUUUUUAAAAAUUACAUUUCUAAGGCAAACAACGUAGAACUGUGACAGAGCAGAGGAACAACAAAAAAGCACAAAGAAUGUUGCUAAUCACAGGCUGCCUAGCACUUUCCUUUCCCUUCAGAGAAGGAGAAACUGUUUUAUAGGUAUCACACACGUGCACACGCACACACGUGCACACACACACACACACACACGCACAGUUUUUCCCUGAUACUGGAAAUUCUUUGUGAACUAGCCACGCUGAUUUCUGCUGAACCUUUUUUUUUUU